RNAcentral lists this ribosomal RNA (899 nucleotides) under uncultured Bacteroidota bacterium. Its description in RNAcentral is "bacterial SSU rRNA". It matches the Rfam family "Bacterial small subunit ribosomal RNA", at positions 509 to 1423 of the family's 1533-position model. The record is from RNAcentral. Lineage: Bacteria; Pseudomonadati; Bacteroidota.
CAGCAGCCGCGGUAAUACGGAGGUUGCGAGCGUUAUCCGGAUUUAUUGGGUUUAAAGGGUGCGUAGGCGGUUUGAUAAGUCAGUGGUGAAAGUUUGCAGCUUAACUGUAAAAUUGCCAUUGAUACUGUCAGACUUGAGUACAGAUGAGGUAGGCGGAAUGUGUGGUGUAGCGGUGAAAUGCUUAGAUAUCACACAGAACACCGAUUGCGAAGGCAGCUUACUAAACUGACACUGACGCUGAGGCACGAAAGUGUGGGGAUCAAACAGGAUUAGAUACCCUGGUAGUCCACACUGUAAACGAUGAUUACUGGAUGUUUGCGAUAUACUGUAAGCGCUCAAGCGAAAGCAUUAAGUAAUCCACCUGGGGAGUACGUCGGCAACGAUGAAACUCAAAGGAAUGACGGGGGCCGCACAAGCGGAGGACAUGUGGUUAUUCGAUGAUACGCGAGACUUACCGGCUCGAACGACAGGGGAUAUGGGGGAACUUCAUAGCCAGCAUGGUCGCUGUCGAGGUGCUGCAUGGUUGUCGUUAGCUCGUGCCGCGAGGUGUCGGCUUAAGUGCCAUAACGAGCGCAACCCUUAUCUUUAGUUGCCAGCGGGUGAUGCCGGGGACUCUAGAGAAACUGCCAGCGUAAGCUGAGAGGAAGGUGGGGAUGACGUCAAAUCAGCACGGCCCUUACGUCCGGGGCGACACACGUGUUACAAUGGCCGGUACAGAGGGCAGCUACCCAGUGAUGGGAUGCGAAUCUCUGAAAGCCGGUCUCAGUUCGGAUUGGAGUCUGCAACUCGACUCCAUGAAGCUGGAUUCGCUAGUAAUCGCGCAUCAGCCAUGGCGCGGUGAAUACGUUCCCGGGCCUUGUACACACCGCCCGUCAAGCCAUGGAAGCUGGGGGUGCCUG